Molecule: ribosomal RNA, 408 nt
Filed under: Bradyrhizobium japonicum
Lineage: Bacteria; Pseudomonadati; Pseudomonadota; Alphaproteobacteria; Hyphomicrobiales; Nitrobacteraceae
Also listed under: 1 other name
Description: bacterial SSU rRNA
Rfam family: Bacterial small subunit ribosomal RNA
Source: RNAcentral
GGCUCAGAGCGAACGCUGGCGGCAGGCUUAACACAUGCAAGUCGAGCGGGCGUAGCAAUACGUCAGCGGCAGACGGGUGAGUAACGCGUGGGAACGUACCUUUUGGUUCGGAACAACACAGGGAAACUUGUGCUAAUACCGGAUAAGCCCUUACGGGGAAAGAUUUAUCGCCGAAAGAUCGGCCCGCGUCUGAUUAGCUAGUUGGUGAGGUAAUGGCUCACCAAGGCGACGAUCAGUAGCUGGUCUGAGAGGAUGAUCAGCCACAUUGGGACUGAGACACGGCCCAAACUCCUACGGGAGGCAGCAGUGGGGAAUAUUGGACAAUGGGGGCAACCCUGAUCCAGCCAUGCCGCGUGAGUGAUGAAGGCCCUAGGGUUGUAAAGCUCUUUUGUGCGGGAAGAUAAUGAC